Molecule: ribosomal RNA, 274 nt
Filed under: uncultured bacterium
Lineage: Bacteria
Description: partial 16S ribosomal RNA
Rfam family: Bacterial small subunit ribosomal RNA
Source: RNAcentral
CUACAGAGGGUGCAAGCGUUAUUCGGAAUUACUGGGCGUAAAGCGCGCGUAGGCGGAUGAUUAAGUCAGUUGUGAAAGCCCUGGGCUCAACCUAGGAACUGCAUCUGAUACUGGUCGUCUAGAGUUUAAGAGAGGGAAGUGGAAUUCCAGGUGUAGCAGUGAAAUGCGUAGAUAUCUGGAGGAACAUCAGUGGCGAAGGCGACUUCCUGGCUUAAAACUGACGCUGAGGUGCGAAAGCGUGGGUAGCGAACGGGAUUAGAAACCCUUGUAGUCC